Molecule: ribosomal RNA, 753 nt
Filed under: Bacillus altitudinis
Lineage: Bacteria; Bacillati; Bacillota; Bacilli; Caryophanales; Bacillaceae
Description: bacterial SSU rRNA
Rfam family: Bacterial small subunit ribosomal RNA
Source: RNAcentral
UGCAAGUCGAGCGGACAGAAGGGAGCUUGCUCCCGGAUGUUAGCGGCGGACGGGUGAGUAACACGUGGGUAACCUGCCUGUAAGACUGGGAUAACUCCGGGAAACCGGAGCUAAUACCGGAUAGUUCCUUGAACCGCAUGGUUCAAGGAUGAAAGACGGUUUCGGCUGUCACUUACAGAUGGACCCGCGGCGCAUUAGCUAGUUGGUGAGGUAACGGCUCACCAAGGCGACGAUGCGUAGCCGACCUGAGAGGGUGAUCGGCCACACUGGGACUGAGACACGGCCCAGACUCCUACGGGAGGCAGCAGUAGGGAAUCUUCCGCAAUGGACGAAAGUCUGACGGAGCAACGCCGCGUGAGUGAUGAAGGUUUUCGGAUCGUAAAGCUCUGUUGUUAGGGAAGAACAAGUGCAAGAGUAACUGCUUGCACCUUGACGGUACCUAACCAGAAAGCCACGGCUAACUACGUGCCAGCAGCCGCGGUAAUACGUAGGUGGCAAGCGUUGUCCGGAAUUAUUGGGCGUAAAGGGCUCGCAGGCGGUUUCUUAAGUCUGAUGUGAAAGCCCCCGGCUCAACCGGGGAGGGUCAUUGGAAACUGGGAAACUUGAGUGCAGAAGAGGAGAGUGGAAUUCCACGUGUAGCGGUGAAAUGCGUAGAGAUGUGGAGGAACACCAGUGGCGAAGGCGACUCUCUGGUCUGUAACUGACGCUGAGGAGCGAAAGCGUGGGGAGCGAACAGGAUUAGAUACCCUGGUA